AUGGCAGCCCUUUUAAAAUGUAAAAAAACCCUCCUCUCGCCCUCCCUCCCCGACUGUCAGUUUGUCAGAGGCGUUUGGCAGUCCAAGGGCAGCCUGAGUUCUGGAUGGAGGCAGCUCGGGUCCGGGAGGAAUCCUGCUCCGUUUGUAAUUUUGGGACGCAGAAACCCGCUCGCGGCCGCCCGGCCGCUGGACGUGAAUGGCACCCCUUUUCCGUGGGAAAGAAAACUCACCUCUGCAGAAUUCUACAAAACCCAGAAUGCACUGGCCUCAUCAGAGAUGUCAUCCUAUGGCAUGCCCAGAAAAACUGGAUUAAUGGGACCGAAUCCUGGCGGCAAGCACUGAAACCGAUAUCACUUCUCAAGUCCCACUGCUGGGCUCAACCUCACUGAAGGAUGACGGGAGGGAGUACACAGUGCUUCAUCUUUCACUGUCAGCCCUCAAAACCACUUUCACAAAAGAAGGAAAAAAGCACGUAUCCUGUUUCUAGAUGGCUCCUGUGGGUUUGGACACUAUCUGUUAUUAACAUAAAAGUCAGGAAACAAAAUCAUGACAUCUUUUAGGUCAGAAAAAACCUUUAUGACCAUCAAGUCCAACCAUUAACCCGGGAUUGCCAAGGCCACCGCUAAUCCUUGUCCUCGAGUGCCACGUGCACCCAUUUUUUCAAUCCCUCCAAGGAUGGUUACUCCACCAGUGCCCUGGGCAGCCUGUUCCAAUGAUGGACAGCCCUUUUGGUGAAGAAAUUUUCCCUAGUAUCUCAUGUAAACCUCCCCUGGUGCAACUUGAGGCCAUUUCCUCUCAUCCUGCUGCUUUACUUGGUAGAAGAGAGAAUCAUUUAGGUUAGAAAAGACUUUUGACAUCCUUGAGUCCAAUGUCAGGAUCUUUCACUGGUCUCCAGGGUAUGGUGUGAUGCUUUUCAUUUUCAGGUGAAUGAAAUAAGAUCCCUGAGGCAAAGCUGUGCUCCCUGCAUAUCAGACAUACCAAAAUACUUCCGUACAGCAGCCUUUUGAUAUGUCUGACACCCAGACUCAUGCUGGGCCUGCCUAAGUGUCAUCCUUGAGAAAGCUUUCGUCCCUUUAAACAUUCAUGUGCCCUUUCUUCUUCUCAUGUAUUUUUACUACUAACAGGUUUCCCAGCUGAUAACACAGCAAUGAGUACAUUAUUCAGCCUGGAUUGCUGACUUGACUGCUGGCAGUCUCCAUUACAGCAACAUCUUCCAACACUUACGGGUGAGGAUCCCAAGCUUUAUCUGAGUGUCCUGGCAGAACGUGGCUGAUGCUGCAGGGCGUAAUGGGGAGAGGCAGUGGGAUGGGACUAGAGCCAGGGAUCUCUGUCCAGACUCUACUCGGC
This 1347-nucleotide long non-coding RNA is filed under the name Cyanistes caeruleus (blue tit). Its description in RNAcentral is "lncRNA (ENSCCEG00000001276.1)". The record is from RNAcentral. Lineage: Eukaryota; Metazoa; Chordata; Aves; Passeriformes; Paridae.